ACCUAGCCCUGACAGCAGUGGAAAGCCUAUGCAGGCGUGAAACCGCUUUUUUCUAGUGGAGGCUGAGCGACCAAAGGAAGCUCCUGCCAGCGCUUAGAAAAAGGGUUUGAAGCCAAAUAGCUUGUAGCGAAUGGCGGGAAUAGCU
This 145-nucleotide small RNA is filed under the name Flavobacterium degerlachei. RNAcentral describes it as "Flavo-1 RNA". It matches the Rfam family "Flavo-1 RNA". The record is from RNAcentral. Lineage: Bacteria; Pseudomonadati; Bacteroidota; Flavobacteriia; Flavobacteriales; Flavobacteriaceae.